GGUGGCUCAGUGGUGGAGUUCUUGCCUGGUAUGCAUGAGGCCCUGGGUUCGAUUCCUCAGCACCA
This is a non-coding RNA of Dipodomys ordii (Ord's kangaroo rat), 65 nucleotides long. NCBI's taxonomy places the organism in Eukaryota, Metazoa, Chordata, Mammalia, Rodentia, Heteromyidae. The record is from Rfam.